CACGUAGUUAGUCGUGGCUUUCUUGAAAAGUACCGUCAAGUAGAACUCAUUUCCUAAUUCUACCAUUCUUUCUUAACAACAGAGUUUUACAACCCAUAGGGCCUUCAUCACUCACGCGGCAUUGCUCGCUCAGGGUUUCCCCCAUUGACGAAUAUUCCUAACUGCUGUCUCCCGUAGGAGUCUGGGCCGUGUCUCAGUCCCAGUGUGGCCGAUUAACCUCUCAGUUCGGCUACGCAUCGCUGUCUUGGUAGGCCAUUACCCCCACCAACUAACUAAUACGCCGCAGGCCCAUCUCUAAGCGAAGCUUUAAGGGCUUCUUUACUCCGUAGAGCACAUUCGGUAUUAUCAACCGUUUCCAGUUGUUAUCCCCAAUUAGAGGCAGGUAACCCACGUGUUACUCACCCGUUUGCCACUAGGUGGAAAAUCCAAAUCCAUCUUUGUGCAAGCACUCAGACUUUCAAUGGGCCACCUCGUUCGACUUGCAUGUCUUAGGCUAGUGCCCGCCAGCCGUUUCACUUCCUGACG
Molecule: ribosomal RNA, 525 nt
Filed under: uncultured bacterium
Lineage: Bacteria
Description: partial 16S ribosomal RNA
Source: RNAcentral